GCUCACUUCAGCAGAGCAGAUACUAAAAUUGAAACAAGACAGAGAAGGUCAGCACGGCUCUUAAACAAGAAUGGCAUGCAAAUCAGUGGAGCAGUCCAUAUUUUA
Small nuclear RNA from Erinaceus europaeus (western European hedgehog), 105 nucleotides. The record is from Ensembl. NCBI's taxonomy places the organism in Eukaryota, Metazoa, Chordata, Mammalia, Eulipotyphla, Erinaceidae.